GGCCCAUCAGAGCUUUGCACGCAGAGAUCAAUGAGUCUAUUUCCCAGGAUGGCUUAUCUUGAUCUGUGAGGGCAUUUAUCAGACAGCUACAGUCUGACUCAAGCUGGUACUUUAAGUGAGAGCACGAACUAAAGUGGUGAAGUGCUUCCCAACAGGCUAGGGUUUUGAUUUGCGCCGGAGAAGACGCUCGCACCUUCUUUGCAAAACCGUCAACGAUCUUCCCAGAGGCAUCUCGGCAUACACAGGCGACACUACCUUCGUUAUCUCCUUCCACAAAGGACCCAUCAACGUUAAUUUUGAGGGUACCUUCCGGCAGUGGCUUCCAUAUGGCAGCUUCCACUACCCACCUCGACUCUGGGUUCUGUUGACGAAAGACGUGAUUGUUUCUUGACUUCCAGAUGUUCCAUAGGAUCUCGGCUAGUAGCUCAGGGUGCGUCCAAACUUGUUUGGUCCAUUCAUAGAGAAGAAAGAUAUGUUCUACAGUCUCUGGGUGCUUGCGACAAAGAGGGCAUAAGGGCUCAGGUAUGAUUUUCCUUGUGUGCAAAUUCUCUGCCGUGGGAAUAGCGUUUUGGCACAUACUCCAAAUAAACAACUUGACUUUCGGAGGGGUGUUCAGGUUCCAUAUCAGAUUCCAUAGUGCUUUUGGUGGUUGAUAGGAAGAUGUGGCUCUGUGUGGUUGUUGUUGUUCAUCCGUCACUCUUGCAUAGUUGUAGGCACUUUUCACUGAAUAUUGUCCUGACUUGGUGCAGGUCCACACUAGCUUGUCUUUCUCAGCGUUAGGUCUUAGCGGAAUUGCUAAUAUUUGGUCAGCUAUCUGCUCAUCGAACAUACUCUUUAUCAUCUGUUCAUCCAAACUAUAGUCCUCUUGGUUAAUUAAAUCCGCCACUUUCUGAGGUUCCCCCUGUCUUGCCUCACCUCCAAUUAUUCCUCUCUGAAGCCACUGAUCAUUUCUAAUGCUUAUGUCUUCUCGAUUACCCACACUCCAUUUUACUGCUUUGGAGAUGUGCUCUCUGCCCAUUAGUAUGCUUUGCCAUCCCCACGAUGAAUGUGACCCCUUUCCUGCAUUCCAGAAAUUGUUAUUGGGGUAGUAGAGCCCUUUGAAAAGCUGCACCCAUAAACUUGAUGGGUUUUGAAAACUCUCCACACUUGUUUACCAAGCAUGGCCUUGUUGAAGGUUAUCAAAUCCUUGAACCCCAUUCCCCCAUUAUCCUUUCUUCUUUUCAGAACAUCCCAUCUCUUCCAAUGUAGCCCCGUCUUGGAUUCGUUGUUUUUCCACCAAAAUGUUGCAAUUUUUUGUUCGAUCGAACGACAAAUGGAUAUGGGGAUUUUAAAAAUUGACAUUGCAUAAUGUGGGAGGGCUUGCACCACUACUUUAAUUAGUAUCUCUUUUCCUGCCUUGGUUAUUAGUUUCUCUUUCCAUCCUUCGAGUUUCGUUUUGACUCUUGCCAAGAUCCAUGCAAACAUUUGCUUUUUCGUUUGUCCCCAAUCUGAUGGGAUCCCCAAAUAUUUUCCUGUUUUUUUCUAUCUCCGGCACCCUUAAUUCAUUUGCCAUAUUCUUGCGAAGACUCCUUGGACAUUCGUUGCUGAAAAAAAUCCCUGAUUUGUUGAGAUUGAUGGCUUGUCCUGUUGCGAAGCAAUACUGGUUUAAAACUGCCCCCACAUUUUGGCAUUCUUUAAUCUGCCCAUCUAGGAAAAAGAUGGAGUCAUCUGCAAAAAGUAAGUGUGACAGCGUGGGACAGUUUCUAUUCAACUUGAUCCCAGUAAUGCUUCCAUCUUGAACCGCUUUAUUAAGUAGGUUGGAUAACACAUUGGCCAAAAUAAUGAAAAUAUAAGGGGAAAGAGGAUCCCCUUGGCGUAUCCCUCUUGAGGGAUGGAAAUAGGACAAGGCUUCCCCAUUAAACUUUAUGCUCAGAGACACUGAAGUAACACAAUGCAUGACCCAUGAAACCCAUUUUGCACUAAAUCCCAUUUGCAGCAAACAAGCUUCCAAGAAAUCCCACUUCACUCUAUCGUAAGCCUUUUUCAUGUCUAGUUUGAGCACUGCUUGGAAUUUCUUCUUUCUUUUUCUAGUUCAGAGUUGACGUAGCACCUCCUGCACCAUCAAAAUGUUAUCCUGUAUUUGCCUUCCACUGACAAAGGCGCUUUGUUCCUCCGCUAUCAAGUUUGGCAGCCAAGGUUUUAGGCGGUUUGCCAUUACCUUUGAGAUG
Molecule: long non-coding RNA, 2207 nt
Organism: Syzygium oleosum
Lineage: Eukaryota; Viridiplantae; Streptophyta; Magnoliopsida; Myrtales; Myrtaceae
Exons: 3
Source: RefSeq, a predicted model, not a curated record